This 378-nucleotide unclassified non-coding RNA is filed under the name uncultured bacterium. Its description in RNAcentral is "contains 16S-23S intergenic spacer region". The record is from RNAcentral.
UCCGGUUUAACACCGGCAGUCUCCAUAGAGUGCCCAACUGAAUGCUGGCAACUAGGGAUAGGGGUUGCGCUCGUUAAGGGACUUAACCCGACAUCUCACGAUACGAGCUGACGACAGCCAUGCAGCACCUGUCUCCCGGCCCCCGAAGGGGAAACCCUAUCUCUAGGGCGGUCCGGGGAUGUCAAACCCAGGUAAGGUUCUUCGCGUUGCAUCGAAUUAAGCAACACGCUCCGCUGCUUGUGCGGGCCCCCGUCAAUUCCUUUGAGUUUUAACCUUGCGGCCGUACUCCCCAGGCGGGGCACUUAAUGCGUUAGCGACGGCGCGGAUUCCGUUGGUUGGAACCCACACCUAGUGCCCAACGUUUACGGCAUGGGCUAC